This 495-nucleotide ribosomal RNA is filed under the name uncultured bacterium. Its description in RNAcentral is "partial 16S ribosomal RNA". It matches the Rfam family "Bacterial small subunit ribosomal RNA", at positions 28 to 507 of the family's 1533-position model. The record is from RNAcentral.
GACGAACGCUGGCGGCGUGCCUAAUACAUGCAAGUAGAACGCUGAAGGAGGAGCUUGCUUCUCUGGAUGAGUUGCGAACGGGUGAGUAACGCGUAGGUAACCUGCCUGGUAGCGGGGGAUAACUAUUGGAAACGAUAGCUAAUACCGCAUAAGAUUGACUAUUGCAUGAUAGUCAGUUAAAAGGUGCAAUUGCAUCACUACCAGAUGGACCUGCGUUGUAUUAGCUAGUUGGUGGGGUAACGGCUCACCAAGGCGACGAUACAUAGCCGACCUGAGAGGGGGAUCGGCCACACUGGGACUGAGACACGGCCCAGACUCCUACGGGAGGCAGCAGUAGGGAAUCUUCGGCAAUGGACGGAAGUCUGACCGAGCAACGCCGCGUGAGUGAAGAAGGGUUUCGGAUCGUAAAGCUCUGUUGUAAGAGAAGAACGAGUGUGAGAGUGGAAAGUUCACACUGUGACGGUAUCUUACCAGAAAGGGACGGCUAACUACGUG